This 828-nucleotide ribosomal RNA is filed under the name uncultured bacterium. RNAcentral's name for it is "bacterial SSU rRNA". It matches the Rfam family "Bacterial small subunit ribosomal RNA", at positions 8 to 827 of the family's 1533-position model. The record is from RNAcentral.
AGAGUUUGAUCCUGGCUCAGGACGAACGCUGGCGGCGUGCUUAAUACAUGCAAGUCGAGCGCUAAAGUCUCUUCGGAGAUGAUUAAAGCGGCGGACGGGUGAGUAACUCGUAGAUAAUCUGCCCUUGAGCCCGAGAUAACCCUGGGAAACUGGGGCUAAUACCGGAUGACGCACAAUUUUUGGAUAGAUUGUGUUAAAGUGGCGCAAGUCACACUUGGGGAUGAGUCUGCGACCUAUCAGCUAGUUGGUUGGGUAAUGGCUAACCAAGGCAAUGACGGGUAGCUGGUCUGAGAGGAUGAUCAGCCACACUGGGACUGAGACACGGCCCAGACUCCUACGGGAGGCAGCAGUAGGGAAUAUUGCGCAAUGGGGGGAACCCUGACGCAGCGACGCCGCGUGAGUGAUGAAGGCCUUUCUGGUUGUAAAGCUCUGUAUAGAGGGAAGAAUGUCAGGUGUUAACAAGCCUGAGUGACGGUACCUCUGAAGUAAGGACCGGCUAAAUACGUGCCAGCAGCCGCGGUAAUACGUAUGGUCCUAGCGUUGUCCGGAAUUACUGGGCGUAAAGGGUGCGCAGGCUGAUAAUCGUGUCAGGUGUGAAAUCCCCCGGCUUAACCGGGGCAUUGCGCUUGAAACUGGUUGUCUAGAGCAUGUCAGGGGUAAGCGGAAUUCCCGGAGUAGCGGUGAAAUGCGUAGAUAUCGGGAAGAACACCGGUGGCGAAGGCGGCUUACUGGGACAUUGCUGACGCUGAGGCACGAAAGCGUGGGUAGCGAACGGGGAUUAGAUACCCCGGUAGUCCACGCCGUAAACGAUGGAUACUGGAUGUCAGU